UACGUAGGAGGCAAGCGUUGUCCGGAGUUACUGGGCGUAAAGCGUGUGCAGGCGGCGUGUCGCGUCUGCGGUGAAAUCUCCCGGCUUAACUGGGAGGGGGCCGUGGAAACGGGCAGGCUUGAGGGCUGGAGAGGGAAGUAGAACUCCCGGUGGACCAGUGAAAUGGGUAGAGAUCGGGAAGAAUACCCGAGGUGAAGACGGCUUCCUGGCCAGUACCUGACGCUCAGACACGAAAGCGUGGGGAGCAAACAGG
RNAcentral lists this ribosomal RNA (253 nucleotides) under uncultured bacterium. RNAcentral's name for it is "partial 16S ribosomal RNA". It matches the Rfam family "Bacterial small subunit ribosomal RNA", at positions 524 to 776 of the family's 1533-position model. The record is from RNAcentral.